Molecule: long non-coding RNA, 2864 nt
Filed under: Sus scrofa (pig)
Lineage: Eukaryota; Metazoa; Chordata; Mammalia; Artiodactyla; Suidae
Description: lncRNA (ENSSSCG00035038510.1)
Source: RNAcentral
UUUUUUUUUUUUUUUUUUUUUUUUUUUUUUGUCUUUUUGCCAUUUCUUGGGCCGCUCCCUCAGCAUAUGGACAUUCCCAGGCUAGGGGUCGAAUUGGAGCUGUAGCCACCGGCCUACGCCAGAGCCGCAGCAACGCGGGAUCUGAGCCGCCUCUGCAACCUACACCACAGUUCACGGCAACGCCGGAUCCUUAACCCACUGAGCAAGGCCAGGGAUGGAACCCGCAACCUCAUGGCUCCUAGUCAGAUUUGUUAACCACUGCUCCACGAUGGGAACUCUAUCAGUAUCUUUGACAUUGCACAAAAUCCAUGCAGACUGGUUGGAAAAAGAAGGCUGACUAUUGAGACUCCUGGAACAGCACCAUGUUAUCUCCCAACAAACCAAAUUAAGGAGGGUUACACACCCUGCAGCCUCCCCCUAAAAUUUUGCCUAUAAAACUUCUUUCCUGAAACCCAUCAGGGAGUUCCAGUCUUUUGAGCAAGAGCAACCCUAUUCUCCUUGCAUGACCUUUGUAAUAAAUAAAUCUUUAUCUGCUCCAAACUCUGACAUUUCAAUUCUUUUAGCCUCACUGUGUGUCAGGCACAUAAACUUAGUUUUGACAACAUUAAUAACUUUUAAGAUCUCCUAUUAGCAACCUUCAAAUAUACACUAAAUUAUCAUUGUAUAUGGUCACCAUGCUAUCCAUCAUAUCCCCAGAAAUUACUUAUAUUUUUCAAAUAUAGUUGAUUUACAAUAUUGGGUUAGUUUCAGGUAUACAACAAAGUGAAUCAGUUUUUUAAAUCAGAUUAUAUUCUAUUAUAGGUUAUUAUAAGAUUUUGAAUAUAAUUAUGUAUGUUAUACAGUAAAUCCUUGUUGCUUAUAUAUUUUAUGUAUAGUAGCUUGUAUCUGUUAAUCCUAUGCCCCUAAUUUGUCCCUCCCUCUCUGUUUUUUGGUAACUAUAAAUUUGUUUUCUGUGUCUGAGUCUGUCUCUGUUUGUAUAUAGACUCACUGGUAUAACUUUUAGACUUCACAUAUAAGUGACAUCAUAUAGUAUUUGGCUUUUCUUUGUCUGACUGACUUAGUAUGAUAAUCUCUAGGUCCGGUUUGGGACAAGAUGAUGCAAUAGAAUGACUUAAGCUCAUCUUCUGCAUGAAAACACCAAACUUACAACUAACUGCUGAACAAUCAUCAAUAAAACAGUAUGGAGAUUCCUCAGAAAACCAAAGCUAGAAUUACCAUUUGAUCCAGCAAUCCCAUUUCUGGGCAUCUAUCCAGAGAAAAUCAUGACUCAAAAAGACACAUGUACUCCAAUGUUCAAUGAAGUACUAUAUAUAAUAGCCAAGGCUUGGAAACAAACUAAAUGUCCAUCGACAGAGGAGUGGAUAAAGAAAAUGUAGAACAUAUUACACAAUGGAAUAUUCCUCAGCUAUUAAAAGGAAAGAAAUAACAGCAUUUGCAGCAAUAUGGAUGGACCUAGAAAUUAUCAUGCUAAGUGAAGUUAGACAGUGAGACACCAAUAUCAUAUGCUAUCACUUACAUGUGGAAUCUAAAAAAAGGGCACAAUGAUCUUUGCAGAACAGAUACUGACUCCCAGACUUUGAAAAACGUAUGGUCUUCAAAGGAGACAGGUUGUGGGGUGGGGGGAUGCACUGGAGGUAUGGGAUGUAAAUGUUAUAAAAUUUGGUUGUGAUGCUCAUUGUACAACUGUAAAUGUAAUAAAAUUUAUUUUUAAGAGUUAGCAUACUUUAGUAAUAAAGUAUUUUAAUUAAAGUAUGUGCUUUUUGGGAGUUCCCUUCUUGGCUCAUUGAACACGAACCUGAGUAGUACCCAUGAGGACAAGGGUUCGAUCCCUGGCCUCCCUCAGUGGUCUAAGGAUCUGGCAUGGCUGUGAGCUGUGGUGUAGGCUGCAGAUGCAGCUUGGAUCCUGUAUUGCUGUGGCUGUAGUGUAGGCUGGCAGCUGCAGCUCUGAUUUGACUUCUAGCCUGGGAACUUCAUGUGCUGCAGGUUUGGCCCUAGGAAAAAAGAGUAUGUACUUUGUUUUAGACACAGUACUAUUGCACACUAAUUAGAUGAGAGUAUAGCGUAAAUAUAACUUUCACAUGCCCUGGGAAACCAAAUAAAAAUUGUGUGACUCACUUUACUACAAUAUUUGCCUUAUUGAGGUGGUCCAGAAUCAAACCUGCAAUAUCUUCAAGAUAUGCCUGGAUAAGAAUCCCCCAAAAGGCUGUAAGUGGAUUUCUCAGUAGAAACCUUGAAGGCCAGAAGAGAGUGAGAUAACAUAUUCUAAAUGUUAAAAGAAAAAAACUGCAAGCUAAGAAAACUUCACUCCUCAAAGAAAUGAAGGUAAGAUAAGGAUAUUUCCAGUCAAGCAAAAGCUGAGGGAAGUUUAUCAUCAUUAAAUCUGCAUUACAAGAAAAGGUAAAGGGGAUUCUUAAAGCCUAAACAAAAAGAUGCUGAUAAGUAACAUCAAAACUAAUGAAAAUAGAAACUCACUGGUAGGAGUUCCCUGGUGGCCUAGUGGUUAAGGAACCAGUAUUGUCACUGCUGUGGUGUCUCUGGCAUGACUUUAAUCCCUGGCCCUGGAACUUCCACAAGCCAUGGGCUUGGCAAAACAAACAGGAGUUCCCAUUGUGGCCUCAGCGGUAACAAACACAACUAUUAUCCAUGAGGACUCGGGUUCAAUCCCUGGCCUCUUUCAGUGGGUUAAAGAUCUGAUGUUGCUGUGAGCUCUGUUGUAAGUCACAGAUGUGGCUCAGAUCCUGCAUUGCUGUGGCUUUAGCAUAGGGUGGCAGCUAUAGCUCCAAUUUGACCCCUAGCCCAGGAAUUUCCAUAUGCCACAGGUGUGGCCUAAAAAGCAAAACAAACAAACCAAAAAAGAAAAAAAA